This is a long non-coding RNA of Lolium rigidum, 166 nucleotides long. RefSeq lists it as uncharacterized. The record is from RefSeq and is a predicted model, not a curated record. Lineage: Eukaryota; Viridiplantae; Streptophyta; Magnoliopsida; Poales; Poaceae. The transcript is spliced from 3 exons.
CCCUCCCCACCCUCUGGGACUCGCUGCCGUCCAUCGCCGUCGUCGGAGGCCAGAGUUCGGGCAAAUCUUCAGUGCUGGAGAGCGUUGUUGGGAAGGAUUUCCUGUCCAGGGGUUCAGGCAUCGUCACCCGUCGCCCCUGGCUCUGCAGCUACAUAGGAUUUAUGGA